GUUGCAUGCGAGGUGAUAAACCCUUCUGUGGCAUGAGUUUUUCCAUUAAGCCAUAAUAUAAUUUAUUUGCAUUCUUGGAAUUAGAUUUAGAAAUCUACUAGCAAAUGUUGCUUUCAUUGCUUGUGUUAUCACUAUUCUCAUGACAAUAUCUUGCAUUAAUCUCUCUUUCUGCGCACACAGUCUGCGCAGCUACCGGUAGUUAAAGGACCACUAUAGUGCCAGGAAAACAUACUCGUUUUCCUGGCACUAUAGUGCCCUCAGG
Pelobates cultripes (western spadefoot toad) is the source of this 262-nucleotide non-coding RNA. NCBI's taxonomy places the organism in Eukaryota, Metazoa, Chordata, Amphibia, Anura, Pelobatidae. The record is from the annotation of a GenBank genome assembly.